GUGAGGAAUAUUGCGCAAUGGAGGCAACUCUGACGCAGCCAUGCCGCGUGCAGGAAGAAGGCGCUACGCGUUGUAAACUGCUUUUAACCGGGAAGAAACCCCAGGACGUGUCCUGGGUUGACGGUACCGGAGGAAUAAGCACCGGCUAACUUCGUGCCAGCAGCCGCGGUAAUACGAAGGGUGCAAGCGUUAUCCGGAUUCAUUGGGUUUAAAGGGUGCGUAGGCGGAGCGUUAAGUCAGUGGUGAAAUCCUACAGCUUAACUGUAGACUUGCCAGUGAUUCUGGCGCUCUUGAGAGCGCUUGAAGUGGGCGGAAUGUGCCGUGUAGCGGUGAAAUGCUUAGAUAUGGCACAGAACACCAAUUGCGAAGGCAGCUCACUAAGGCGAUACUGACGCUGAGGCACGAAAGCGUGGGGAUCGAACAGGAUUAGAAACCCUUGUAGUCC
This 445-nucleotide ribosomal RNA is filed under the name uncultured bacterium. RNAcentral describes it as "partial 16S ribosomal RNA". It matches the Rfam family "Bacterial small subunit ribosomal RNA", at positions 354 to 796 of the family's 1533-position model. The record is from RNAcentral.